AGGAAUAUAGUUCAAUUGGAUAGAACGCUAGGCUACGAACCUAGAGAUGCGAGUUCAAGUCUUGCUAUUCCUA
Molecule: transfer RNA, 73 nt
Filed under: Allomuricauda sp.
Lineage: Bacteria; Pseudomonadati; Bacteroidota; Flavobacteriia; Flavobacteriales; Flavobacteriaceae
Description: tRNA-Arg
Rfam family: tRNA
About the family: Transfer RNA (tRNA) molecules are approximately 80 nucleotides in length. Their secondary structure includes four short double-helical elements and three loops (D, anti-codon, and T loops).
Source: RNAcentral